UCGGGAAUUUUGGGCAAUGGGCGAAAGCCUGACCCAGCAACGCCGCGUGAGGGAUGAAGUAUUUCGGUAUGUAAACCUCGAAAGAAUGGGAAGAAUAAAUGACGGUACCAUUUAUAAGCUCCGGCUAACUACGUGCCAGCAGCCGCGGUAAUACGUAGGGAGCAGGCGUUGUUCGGAUUUACUGGGCGUAAAGGGCGCGUAGGCGGCGCGGUAAGUCACUUGUGAAAUCUCUGAGCUUAACUCAGAAAGGCCAAGUGAUACUGCUGUGCUAGAGUGCGGAAGAGGCAACCGGAAUUCUUGGUGUCGCGGUAAAAUGCGUAGAUAUCGAGAGCAACACCUGAGGCGAAGGCGGGUUGCUGGGCCAACACUGAAGCUGAUGCGCGAAAGCCAGGGGAGCAAACG
This 402-nucleotide ribosomal RNA is filed under the name uncultured bacterium. Its description in RNAcentral is "bacterial SSU rRNA". It matches the Rfam family "Bacterial small subunit ribosomal RNA", at positions 355 to 774 of the family's 1533-position model. The record is from RNAcentral.